RNAcentral lists this ribosomal RNA (256 nucleotides) under Halomonas llamarensis. RNAcentral describes it as "partial 23S ribosomal RNA". It matches the Rfam family "Bacterial large subunit ribosomal RNA", at positions 1501 to 1754 of the family's 2925-position model. Lineage: Bacteria; Pseudomonadati; Pseudomonadota; Gammaproteobacteria; Oceanospirillales; Halomonadaceae. The record is from RNAcentral.
GUAGCCCUGGUGAAAGUCAGUAGGCUGAGAUCUCAGGUAAAUCCGGGAUCUUAAGGCCGAGAGACGAGACGAAGACACCCCGGUGUUGAAGUCACUGAUGCCACGCUUCCAAGAAAAGCCUCUAAGCGACAGAUCAUGUGCGACCGUACCCCAAACCGACACAGGUGGUCAGGGUGAGAAUCCCCAGGCGCUUGAGAGAACUCGGGUGAAGGAACUAGGCAAAAUGGUGCCGUAACUUCGGGAGAAGGCACGCCGC